GACGAACGCUGGCGGCGUGCUUAACACAUGCAAGUCGAACGAUGAAGCAAAGAAUCGAAGCUUCGGCAGAAAUUCAUUUCGGAUUAGUGGCAGACGGGUGAGUAACGCGUGAGCAACCUACCUCUUACAAAGGGAUAGCCUCGGGAAACCGGGAUUAAUACCAUAUAACAUUGUGACGAAGCAUUUCGAUGCAAUCAAAGCUACGGCGGUAAGAGAUGGGCUCGCGUCCCAUUAACCGGAUGGUGAGGUAACGGCUCACCAUAGUGACGAUGGGUAACCGGCCUGAGAGGGUGAACGGUCACACUGGAACUGAGACACGGUCCAGACUCCUACGGGAGGCAGCAGUGGGGUAUAUUGCACAAUGGAGGGAACUCUGAUGCAGCGACGCCGCGUGAGUGAUGAAGGAAUUCGUUUCGUAAAACUCUGUUCUAUGGGAAGAAAAGGACUGUACCAUAGGAGAAAGCUCCGGCUAAAUACGUG
This 480-nucleotide ribosomal RNA is filed under the name uncultured bacterium. RNAcentral describes it as "partial 16S ribosomal RNA". It matches the Rfam family "Bacterial small subunit ribosomal RNA", at positions 28 to 507 of the family's 1533-position model. The record is from RNAcentral.